CGUUAGUGAACUAAUUGCCGAAAGGCAACCUAAGGAAUAUGAAAAAGAUACAUAACAGGAGGAUAAAACUAUGCGGGAUUCGUUAAUUAAUACCUGUGGAAUGAAGAUGCGUAAGCUUCUUGAUAAAAAGUCAGAGGUGUUUGCACAGAAAUACGGAGUGAGAAAUGUAGAACUGGAGAUUCUUUUAUUUUUAUAUCAUUCACCAUGUGGUGAUACAGCAAAAGAUAUUGUGGAGGAGAAGAAUUUAUCCAAAGCACACAUUUCAAAGUCUGUAGAUAAUUUACGGGCGAAAGGUUUUGUCGUUUUGACAGAGGAUGAGAAUGACCGCAGAAAGAGACACAUUGAGUUGACUGAGAAGGCUGUGGAAGCAGCGAAAAAUAUGCUGGAGGUUCAUAAUGAAUGUAAAGAGGUUGUCAUGCGUUAUGUGACGGAUGAGGAGAAAGAACUUAUGAACCAGAUAAUGCAGAAGAUGCUUCGCAGUCUGGAUGAGGAACUUCAAAAGUAACAGAAUUACUUUACGGAAAUAUUUACAGAUAGCAUUUACAGGAAGUAUUUUUAAUGGCAUCGACUGAUAAUGCCACUGGAAAAUGACCGGGAGAAAUUUUAGAUAAUUUUUGGAGUAUUGAUGAAGAUGAUGACCAAAGAGUUAGUCAGAUUAGAAGAAAGGAAUGCAGUAUAUGAAGUCAGUGGCAAUAGACCCGAAACCGGGUGACCUAUCCAUGGGCAGGUUGAAGUGGAGGUAAAACUCCAUGGAGGACCGAACGCACGUUCGUUGCAAUGACCGGCGAUGACCUGUGGAUAGCGGUGAAAUUCCAAUCGAACCCGGAGAUAGCUGGUUCUCCCCGAAAUAGCUUUAGGGCUAGCGUUAUGUUAGAUUACCGGAGGUAAAGCACUGAAUGGUGGCGGGGCCGAUAAGGUUACCAAGACCUAUCAAACUCUGAAUGCCGGAUAAUUGAUGCAUAGCAGUCAGACAGCGUGAGAUAAGUUUCGUUGUCAAAAGGGAAACAGCCCAGACCCACAGCUAAGGUCCCAAAUUCAUGCUAAGUGGAAAACGAUGUGGAAUUGCGAAAACAACCAGGAUGUUGGCUUAGAAGCAGCCACUCAUUAAAAGAGUGCGUAAUAGCUCACUGGUCGAGUGACUCUGCGCCGAAAAUUUAACGGGGCUAAACUAUACACCGAAGCUUGGGAUACAUCUAAUGUAUGGUAGGAGAGCGUUCUGUAUGGGGAGAAGUCGUAGCGAAAGCGGCGGUGGACUAUACAGAAGUGAGAAUGCCGGAAUAAGUAGCGAGAAUUAAGUGAGAAUCUUAAUGGCCGAAAGUCUAAGGUUUUUGGAGGAAGGUUCGUCCGCUCCAAGUAAGUCGGGAGCUAAGGUCAGGCCGAAAGGCGUAGCCGAUGCACAUACGGUUGAUAUUCCGUAACCAUCUGUAAUUUAAGCAAAGGGACACUUCAAAAGGGUGUGACCCGGGCGUUGGUUGACCCGGGCGUAAGGGACCGAAAUUAGAGUAGGGAAGCACACUUGGCUGAAGGCGAGAAAAGCUUUGCGUAUAGAAACAGAUGCCCGUACCGCAAACCGACACAGGUGGACAGGAAGAGAAUUCUAAGGCCAGCGGGAGAAGGGUAGUUAAGGAACUCGGCAAAUUGACUCCGUAACUUCGGAAUAAGGAGUGCUCGAAAGAGCCGCAGAGAAUAGGCCCAGGCGACUGUUUAGCAAAAACACAGGUCUCUGCCAAAUCGAAAGAUGAAGUAUAGGGGCUGACACCUGCCCGGUGCCGGAAGGUUAAGAGGAGGAGUGAGAGCUCCGAAUUGAAGCCCCGGUAAACGGCGGCCGUAACUAUAACGGUCCUAAGGUAGCGAAAUUCCUUGUCGGGUAAGUUCCGACCCGCACGAAUGGUGUAACGAUCUGGGCACUGUCUCAACUACCCACCCGGCGAAAUUGUAGUACCGGUGAAGAUGCCGGUUACCUGCGGCAAGACGGAAAGACCCCAUGGAGCUUUACUGUAGCCUGAUAUUGGGUUUCGGAAAUCUAUGUACAGGAUAGGCGGGAGACUUGGAAACAUGAGCGUCAGCUUGUGUGGAGUCGAUGUUGGGAUACCGCCCUUAGGUUUCUGGAAUUCUAACCUGCGGCCGUGAAUCCGGUCGGGGGACAUUGUCAGGUGGGCAGUUUGACUGGGGCGGUCGCCUCCGAAAAGGUAACGGAGGCGCUCAAAGGUUAGCUCAGCACGGACGGAAACCGUGCCUCUGAGUGUAAACGCAAAAGCUAGCCUAACUGCGAGGGUGACGGCCCGAGCAGUAACGAAAGUUGGAGUUAGUGAUCCGGCGGUAUGUGAAUGGAAAUGCCGUCGCUCAACGGAUAAAAGCUACCCUGGGGAUAACAGGCUGAUCUCCCCCAAGAGUCCACAUCGACGGGGAGGUUUGGCACCUCGAUGUCGGCUCAUCACAUCCUGGGGCUGUAUUCGGUCCCAAGGGUUCGGCUGUUCGCCGAUUAAAGUGGUACGCGAGCUGGGUUCAGAACGUCGCGAGACAGUUCGGUCCCUAUCUGUCGUGGGCGCAGGAUAUUUGAGGAGCUCUGUCCUUAGUACGAGAGGACCGGGAUGGACGUACCUCUGGUGCACCAGUUGUCAUGCCAAUGGCACGGCUGGGCAGCUAUGUACGGAACGGAUAAACGCUGAAAGCAUCUAAGCGUGAAGCCGACUCCAAGAUUAGAUAUCCCAUCGUAUAACGAGUAAGACCCCUUGAAGACUACGAGGUUGAUAGGCUGCGUGUGUAAGUGCCGUGAGGCAUUCAGCUUGGCAGUACUAAUAGGUCGAGGGCUUGACCAU
This 2819-nucleotide ribosomal RNA is filed under the name human gut metagenome. RNAcentral's name for it is "bacterial LSU rRNA". The stretch from base 412 to 2819 matches the Rfam family "Bacterial large subunit ribosomal RNA". The record is from RNAcentral.